UCUGGUGGCGAUAGCGAGAAGGUCACACCCGUUCCCAUACCGAACACGGAAGUUAAGCUUCUCAGCGCCGAUGGUAGU
RNAcentral lists this ribosomal RNA (78 nucleotides) under Paenibacillus sp. FSL R5-0490. Lineage: Bacteria; Bacillati; Bacillota; Bacilli; Caryophanales; Paenibacillaceae. The record is from RNAcentral.